CAGGUUCGCCGGGUGAUCGCGCGUGACGCAAGAAUCGCGAGGAAAGUCCGAACUUCAUAGAGCAGAGCGCCGGCUAACGGCCGGGUGUGGUGACGCAACGGAAAGUGCCACAGAAAAUAUACCGCCGAAGAAAAGUCAAAAGUCGGAAAUCAGAAGUCGGAUACUUAUUCUGGCUUUGACUUCUGACUUCAUACUUCUGAAUUUUCUUCGGUAAGGGUGAAAAGGUGCGGUAAGAGCGCACCGCGCAUCCAGUAAUGGGUGUGGCAGGGAAAACCCCGCUCGAAGCAAGGCCAAGUAUGCCGGGAGUCUCCGCUGCUCGCGGAGCAUAAGUCCCGGCGGGUAGGCCGCCCGAGGUGAUGAGUAAUCAUCAUCCCAGAUAGAUGAUCACUGCCCGCAAGGGUACAGAAUUCGGCUUAUAGGCGAACCCCAAAA
RNAcentral lists this RNase P RNA (432 nucleotides) under bacterium. RNAcentral describes it as "RNase P RNA component class A". It matches the Rfam family "Bacterial RNase P class A". From Rfam's summary of the family: Ribonuclease P (RNase P) is a ubiquitous endoribonuclease, found in archaea, bacteria and eukarya as well as chloroplasts and mitochondria. Its best characterised activity is the generation of mature 5'-ends of tRNAs by cleaving the 5'-leader elements of precursor-tRNAs. The record is from RNAcentral.